GUCAAGUGGGGGGCAACCCUGAACGAGCAAUGCCGCGUGAGCGAAGAAGGUCUUCGGAUUGUAAAGCUCUGUUGACCGGGGAAAAAGGAAGGAAAGAGGAAAUGCUUUUCUUUGGAUGGUACCCGGCCAGAAAGUCACGGCUAACUACGUGCC
This 153-nucleotide ribosomal RNA is filed under the name uncultured bacterium. RNAcentral's name for it is "partial 16S ribosomal RNA". It matches the Rfam family "Bacterial small subunit ribosomal RNA", at positions 367 to 509 of the family's 1533-position model. The record is from RNAcentral.